GUUCCCAGGGUGGAUCUGUUUGGAAUCUGGUUUCCUGGAACCAGUCCCAGGGGCCUCUUUCAGGGCCCAGGACUCUCCCAGGCAGGCGCUUGCUUCUCCGUCUCCAGCCACCUAAUACCUUCCUUGAACCCGCCUGGGCCACUAGGCCCAACUCUGGGAAGAUUUUAUAGGAAAGGCUGCCAUCUUGUGGCCAAACUGCAAGCCCACCAUUCACCAGGAGAAAGCAAAGGCGGGGAACCUGGGGCUUUGGGAACAGGCGAAGACAGCAGGGAAGAGACACCAGCUGGUGCAGCUUUGCUCUAGGAGGGCUGCCUCACAGGCAGAGUGCCACCUCCCUGUCGGAGGGAGGGUUCAGGCUGCCUGCCUGCCUCUGGAUGGGAGGUGGGGCUUGGGUGCAGGUGUGGUGGAUCAGAACUCUCCUGCAAAAUCCCAACGUGGGCCCAUCAGAGGAUCCCUGAAGGUAAGCCUGGGUUAGACUUCUCCUUAAACCCUUCUCCAGGGGAGGGUGUCCUUUCACCUGGGUGGGGCUGGGGAGGAGCCAUGUUGGUGCAUAUGAGGCUUUCCCUGGAGAGAGGCCCCCAGGGCUGCUGGGGCUGGAUCCUGCCCUCAGUGUUCCACCCUGUAUAGACACUGUCCCUGACUCUGAGGGAGUUAUAGAACCUCGUCCUCACUUCCUAAAUCUAAUCCUGUGUGACGAGCUCUUCCUUUGUCUUUGCGGCUCCACCUCAGUUCAGAUCCUCAUCUGGGGUGCUAGGUUGGGGCUGUUGCAGUCUCCCAGCCUCAGUUCUUUUAGCAACUUUGCUAAUCAAAGGAUUUCCUAAUCAUAUUCUCCUCAGUUACAAGAACACCACUGGGCUCCUGGUGGCCUGCAGGAGAAUGUCCAGCUUCUUGGCCUGGCUUUCAUUUCUGCCUCAUCCUCUCCGACAGGCUCAUGUCAUGCUGUGUGCCUCCUGUUCAGCUCCAACCCAGGGCUUCUCAGUCCUGGCUGCACAUUCAAAUCACCUGGGAGCUUUGAAACCUACCCACGCCAGACCAUGCUCUCAGAGAGUCUGAUUUCAUUGGCCUGGGACCUGGAGGUUGUGGGUGUGUUUAGAAAUCUCCCCCAGCUUCUGACAGUGCCAGGGACAAGAUUGUGCUUGGUGACGAAUGACUGAAUGAGUCGCCUGCUCUCCUAGCCAAUCUUCACGUUGCUGAGACCCUCCAGCCCUCUACAUGACACCCUUUCUGAAAAGCCCUUGAGGUUAUGAGAUGUGGUCUCAUACAGGUAGAACUUUUCACAUUCUCUGGGCCUGGGAGAAGGGAGGGCUGCCUCCAUCCUCCCCAACCCCUGCAUAAAAAUCUCUCCCCCAUGACAUAAUGGGUGGUCAUGCCUCAGUUUCCACUUAGAAAACCUGUGCUUGGAGCAAAGAUUUAAAAAUAAUAAAAACUAACAUUUAUUGAGUCCCGUGUGUCAAUGACACAUGCAAUAUCUUAAUCAUCAUAGCACCCUUGUUCUUAUCAGUCCUAUUUCCAGGGGAGGAACUGAGGCUCAUAGACGAUGAGUUACGUGGCAGAGGCUGCUUGGGCUCGCCAGUAUCCAGUCUCCUCCUCUUCCUAGAGUUAUAGUCAGACUACAUUUUCUGGUCUCUUGCGGU
RNAcentral lists this long non-coding RNA (1634 nucleotides) under Equus caballus (horse). RNAcentral's name for it is "lncRNA (ENSECAG00000059702.1)". The record is from RNAcentral. Lineage: Eukaryota; Metazoa; Chordata; Mammalia; Perissodactyla; Equidae.